Molecule: long non-coding RNA, 397 nt
Organism: Corvus hawaiiensis (hawaiian crow)
Lineage: Eukaryota; Metazoa; Chordata; Aves; Passeriformes; Corvidae
Exons: 4
Source: RefSeq, a predicted model, not a curated record
GCAGUGUGUGAAACACUUAAAAGUAUUGAUGAUACUGAAGAAAUAACAAGGCUCUACAGCAUAGAAACCUGUGACAAUAGUAAGAAAGUGCUGGCACCUGUGGCAGCUAGAUUGGUGAAAAGGAGCUUGGUACCUCUGACGUACAGAAUGAAAUCUGAGAUAUUAGAUUGCUUGUCCCCAAAGGACCAAUCUUUUUAUCCAAACAAUCCAAAGCCCCAGAGAGAAAACUCAUGUCACAAUGUGAAGAAGGGCAGGAGAUGGGCUAUCAGAAGAUGACCGACAGCAUCACUGUGAGCAGACCAGCCUUCUAGAGCACACAGGAAGCAAUGUUCAAGAGAUAAGAGAAUGUCCAGUGAUCUGCAAUGAAGCCAGAAUGGAAACACUUUGGAAAAGACUG